GUUCCAGACUCCUACGGGAGGCAGCAGUGGGGGAUAUUGCACAAUGGGGGGAACCCCGAUGCAGCGACGCCGCGUGGGUGAAGAAGUCAUUCGUGACGUAAAGCCCUAUCAGCAGGGAAGAAAAUGACGGUACCUGACUAAGAAGCCCCGGCUAACUACGUGCCAGCAGCCGCGGUAAUACGUAGGGGGCAAGCGUUAUCCGGAUUCACUGGGCGUAAAGGGAGCGCAGGCGGCACGGCAAGUCUGGUGUGAAAGCCCGGGGCCCAACCCCGGGACUGCAUUGGAAACUGCCGGGCUGGAGUGCCGGAGGGGUAAGCGGAAUUCCUGGUGUAGCGGUGAAAUGCGCAGAUAUCAGGAAGAACACCGGUGGCGUAGGCGGCUUACUGGACCGUGACUGACGUUGAGGCUCGAGAGCGUGGGGAGCAAACAGGAUUAGAUACCCUCGUA
This 447-nucleotide ribosomal RNA is filed under the name uncultured bacterium. RNAcentral describes it as "partial 16S ribosomal RNA". It matches the Rfam family "Bacterial small subunit ribosomal RNA", at positions 328 to 792 of the family's 1533-position model. The record is from RNAcentral.